AGUUUGAUCCUGGCUCAGAGUGAACGCUGGCGGCAGGCCUAACACAUGCAAGUCGAACGGCAGCACAGUAAGAGCUUGCUCUUAUGGGUGGCGAGUGGCGGACGGGUGAGGAAUACAUCGGAAUCUACUCUUUCGUGGGGGAUAACGUAGGGAAACUUACGCUAAUACCGCAUACGACCUACGGGUGAAAGCGGAGGACCUUCGGGCUUCGCGCGGUUGAAUGAGCCGAUGUCGGAUUAGCUAGUUGGCGGGGUAAAGGCCCACCAAGGCGACGAUCCAUAGCUGGUCUGAGAGGAUGAUCAGCCACAUUGGGACUGAGACACGGCCCAAACUCCUACGGGAGGCAGCAGUGGGGAAUAUUGGACAAUGGGCGCAAGCCUGAUCCAGCCAUGCCGCGUGAGUGAUGAAGGCCUUAGGGUUGUAAAGCUCUUUCACCGAUGAAGAUAAUGACGGUAGUCGGAGAAGAAGCCCCGGCUAACUUCGUGCCAGCAGCCGCGGUAA
RNAcentral lists this ribosomal RNA (501 nucleotides) under uncultured bacterium. RNAcentral describes it as "bacterial SSU rRNA". It matches the Rfam family "Bacterial small subunit ribosomal RNA", at positions 10 to 523 of the family's 1533-position model. The record is from RNAcentral.